CUUUAUGGCAGCUGUGCGUGGGAGAUCUUCGGGUCUGCCGGGUUCUGGGAAUGACCGGUUCGCCAACCCGCGUACAGCGGCCACUUGU
Molecule: non-coding RNA, 88 nt
Filed under: Pseudomonas fragi
Lineage: Bacteria; Pseudomonadati; Pseudomonadota; Gammaproteobacteria; Pseudomonadales; Pseudomonadaceae
Source: RNAcentral